CAAGAAUAGAAUAUUUGAUUCUUAUUUGGAAGAUGAUUUAACCAGAGAAGCAUAUAUCAUGCACAUUACCAUGACGCAUACUCAGCUAGGGAAACAUCCGACACCAAAUCUCACGGGUAAGAAGAAAAAAUCACUGGUCAAAAUGUGCACGAAAAAUAUUAACUUAUACAACAAAAAGUUGGAUACUAUUAGUGAUAUUACAGUAGAAAUGUCACCAUGCUAAUGUCUAUCACUUGACAAAAAAACAUGGUGCUUCCCACUAUGCCUAACACACAAUGAAGCGACAAAUGGAGAACGCUUCUUUGACAGGCUUGUCGUAAUCCAUCUGCUAGUCUCCCUAGACUAAAUCAGCCAACCUAUGCUUUUCCAACUAAGUACUUCUGGUUUAUCCUAUAUAAUCAAGUAUCAUAGAAGUAAAUGUCUGUACAUUACUCUUGUCCUCUUGAGGCAUCUUCCUGAGAGAGCAAGCCCAAGCACAAUGGACAAGGGGGAUCGCUUCUAUUUUCAUUACUUGUUCUCUGCUCCAAACAGUCUGCAUGAUACAUAUGACCACAGACUAAAACAGCCACAAUAGAGCAUUCCCCAGAAGAAAGUGCCUCUCCAAGAAAAUAUGGUUUCCGUCUUAACAGCUUCUGACAGAUCCCACAUAUCAUCUUCACUGCAUCAGAUGCAUCUAUUACCAUGGAGCUUAGCCUAGGUCUAAUUCUAUCUGGCCUGCCAAAUGCUUUUUCUUUGUUCCCUGUAUGGUGUCCAAACUCUGAACCAGACAACUUGAAGGCAAGUCUCUCAUCACGUAAAGGGGUAAUUUUCCCAUGAGAAGCCGAUGCAUUAGCAUGGUUCCCUGAAUUCCUCCGAGAGUAUUGAUGCCCAUAGUAGUGACGUGAUCGUUUCAAGAAAAUUGAGUGGCCAACAUUGUAAUGCUGAUGCGCAAGAGAAGAAUGCACAUUCAACAGCUUCAUGGUACUAUCUGUGGCAUCCAUCCCAGGUGAAAGAGGCUUUAAUUCACUAGAGUCAAGUAAAUGAGAAGAUUUCUCAGUAGCCAACAAUUCUGCUCCAGAUGGGCAUGGAAUGUCGUCUGCAACAUUCAGAAAUAAAUCAAAAUUAAUGAGCAUGUACAUGCUGAUCACUAUGUAGAAGAAGAAUCAACAUGAUAGCUUUCUAUUUUAAUUCACAAUUACACAACAUAAGAUCUUAUAAUACUUGUUUCAAGGCCAGGGCAUGAGCACUUGCAAGGCAAACAUUCAACCACACAGCAAAAAGCACUAGCAUCACAAGUGACAAACUUAACUACUAGAAUAUCAAAAGAAGGAGGCAAGGGUGCUGAAGGUUCAAAACAGAACUAAGCAUGCAACGCCUUAAAAAGCAUAAUAAAUUCAUAUGCAGGUCAGUUCAAC
This 1394-nucleotide unclassified non-coding RNA is filed under the name Hevea brasiliensis (rubber tree). Lineage: Eukaryota; Viridiplantae; Streptophyta; Magnoliopsida; Malpighiales; Euphorbiaceae. The record is from RNAcentral.